RNAcentral lists this ribosomal RNA (848 nucleotides) under Curvularia sp. RNAcentral's name for it is "partial large subunit ribosomal RNA". It matches the Rfam family "Eukaryotic large subunit ribosomal RNA", at positions 72 to 938 of the family's 3401-position model. Lineage: Eukaryota; Fungi; Ascomycota; Dothideomycetes; Pleosporales; Pleosporaceae. The record is from RNAcentral.
GGAUUGCCCUAGUAACGGCGAGUGAAGCGGCAACAGCUCAAAUUUGAAAUCUGGCUCUUUUAGAGUCCGAGUUGUAAUUUGCAGAGGGCGCUUUGGCUUUGGCAGCGGUCCAAGUUCCUUGGAACAGGACGUCACAGAGGGUGAGAAUCCCGUACGUGGUCGCUAGCUAUUGCCGUGUAAAGCCCCUUCGACGAGUCGAGUUGUUUGGGAAUGCAGCUCUAAAUGGGAGGUAAAUUUCUUCUAAAGCUAAAUAUUGGCCAGAGACCGAUAGCGCACAAGUAGAGUGAUCGAAAGAUGAAAAGCACUUUGGAAAGAGAGUCAAACAGCACGUGAAAUUGUUGAAAGGGAAGCGCUUGCAGCCAGACUUGCUUGCAGUUGCUCAUCCGGGCUUUUGCCCGGUGCACUCUUCUGCAGGCAGGCCAGCAUCAGUUUGGGCGGUGGGAUAAAGGUCUCUGACACGUUCCUUCCUUCGGGUUGGCCAUAUAGGGGAGACGUCAUACCACCAGCCUGGACUGAGGUCCGCGCAUCUGCUAGGAUGCUGGCGUAAUGGCUGUAAGCGGCCCGUCUUGAAACACGGACCAAGGAGUCUAACAUCUAUGCGAGUGUUUGGGUGUCAAGCCCGAGCGCGUAAUGAAAGUGAACGGAGGUGGGAACCCGCAAGGGUGCACCAUCGACCGAUCCUGAAGUUUACGGAAGGAUUUGAGUAAGAGCAUGGCUGUUGGGACCCGAAAGAUGGUGAACUAUGCUUGAAUAGGGUGAAGCCAGAGGAAACUCUGGUGGAGGCUCGCAGCGGUUCUGACGUGCAAAUCGAUCGUCAAAUUUGGGCAUAGGGGCGAAAGACUAAUCGA